Molecule: ribosomal RNA, 1161 nt
Filed under: metagenome
Description: bacterial SSU rRNA
Rfam family: Bacterial small subunit ribosomal RNA
Source: RNAcentral
AGAGUUUGAUCAUGGCUCAGGACGAACGCUGGCGGCGUGCUUAACACAUGCAAGUCGAACGAGACGAUUGAAAGCUUGCUUUUGAAAGUCGAGUGGCAAACGGGUGAGUAACGCGUAGACAACCUGCCGUAAAGAUGGGGACAACAGUCCGAAAGGACUGCUAAUACCGAAUGUUGUAAAUCUUCCGCAUGGAAGACUUACUAAAGGUGGCCUCUACUUGUAAGCUAUCGCUUUACGAUGGGUCUGCGUCUGAUUAGCUGGUUGGUGGGGUAACGGCCUACCAAGGCGACGAUCAGUAGCCGGUAUGAGAGGAUGAACGGCCACAUUGGAACUGAGACACGGUCCAGACUCCUACGGGAGGCAGCAGUGGGGAAUCUUCCGCAAUGGGCGCAAGCCUGACGGAGCAACGCCGCGUGAGUGAAGAAGGGUUUCGACUCGUAAAGCUCUGUUGUCGGGGACGAACGUGGAGACGGCAAAUAGUCGUUUCCAAUGACGGUACCUGACGAGGAAGCCACGGCUAACUACGUGCCAGCAGCCGCGGUAAUACGUAGGUGGCGAGCGUUGUCCGGAAUUAUUGGGCGUAAAGGGAGCGCAGGCGGGAAGGUAAGUCUAUCUUAAAAGUGCGGGGCUCAACCCCGUGAGGGGAUGGAAACUAUCUUUCUUGAGUGCAGGAGAGGAAAGCGGAAUUCCUAGUGUAGCGGUGAAAUGCGUAGAUAUUAGGAGGAACACCAGUGGCGAAGGCGGCUUUCUGGACUGUAACUGACACUGAGGCUCGAAAGCGUGGGGAGCGAACAGGAUUAGAUACCCUGGUAGUCCACGCCGUAAAUGAUGAAUGCUAGGUGUAGGAGGUAUCGACCCCUUCUGUGCCGGAGUUAACGCAAUAAGCAUUCCGCCUGGGGAGUACGGCCGCAAGGCUGAAACUCAAAGGAAUUGACGGGGGCCCGCACAAGCGGUGGAGUAUGUGGUUUAAUUCGACACAACGCGAAGAACCUUACCAGGGCUUGACAUUGAGUGAAAGGACAAGAGAUUGUCCCCUCUCUUCGGAGACACGAAAACAGGUGGUGCAUGGCUGUCGUCAGCUCGUGUCGUGAGAUGUUGGGUUAAGUCCCGCAACGAGCGCAACCCUUAUCCUUUGUUGCCAGCACGUUAUGGUGGGAACUC